AGUUGCACAACUGCCUGGCAUGUGACUGGAGGUACUUUGCAGUCAUUGCUGGGAUUUCACUGAUGUGACCCCAACGCUGCCUCCCUCUCCACCCCACGAUGUUGGAAGAAACUCAACAGAGUAAAUUGGCUGUGGCCAAGAAAAAGUCUCAACGGGAAGCCAGGCCGAUGAGAACAGCCACUUGUCAUCAGGCUCUCCCUUUAGAAGUCACUGAAAGGGCCCCAGGAUGUGGUGAGGAGGGCCCCAGGCACUAGAAUUAAGAGAAGAACUAACUUGCCACCAGAUUGCUCGGUGACCACAGAAAAAUCACUUCUUCCCCUGGGCCUCAGUUUUCUCCUCUUCCUCGAGCCGCUGUGAAGCAGUCCUCAAGCGGCAGUUAUGGCAGUCCAUAAAGGCUCGGGCACAGCUGGAAGCACACGUGACACAGAUGUUGGAACAAGUCCAGCUAGAGACAGAUGAAUAUACUCAACAUCUAAAAGGAGAGAGGGCCCGGUGGCAGCAGAGGGUAUGGAAAAUGUCAGAGGAGGUUUGCACAUGGAAGGAGGAGAAGAAGCAUGACAGGCAUCGGGUACAGGAGCUGGAGAGCAGGUGGCGUUUUUCAACUCCGCUGGAGCCAGUGCCCAGGAGGAGCAGGUAUGGCUUAUGUGGGCAGCUGAGGGAGCAAAGGGUGUGGUGCCAGCGCCUGACUCACCCGGGUGGCCUUGGCCCAGAAGGAGCCAGAGGUAGUGGAACCAGCCCCAGGGACUGGGGAUGAGUCUGUGUGUGGGUAGACUCAUCAGGCCCUGCAGGGAUCCAUGGAGAAGUUGCAGAGUGGCUUUAUGGACCUCCUGAAGGAGAAGGUGGACCUGAAGGAGUGGGUGGAGAAACUAGAGCUUCGAUCCAUCCACCUCUCAGGACAGGCAGACACCAUCAGAAAGUAAAUCACAACAUACGAGGGCCAGAGGGCAGCGCCAAAGACGCGGCACCAGGAGGAGGAGGACAUCAUCAGGCUGGCCCAGGACAAAGAGGAGAUGAAGAUGGGGCAUUGCAGCACCUCUGUGGGGGUGGGGGUGGGGUGGGUGUGAGCGUGGGCAGGGGCACUGGCACCAGCGUGGCAGCUGAGCACCCCUCCCUUCAGGUGAAACUGCUGGAGCUGCAGGAGCUGGUGUUGCGGCUUGCAGGCGAUCACAACGAGGGGCAUGGCAAAUUCCUGGCCGCUGCCCAGAACCCUGCUGAUGAUCCUGCUCCAGGGGCCCCAGCCCCUCAGGAGCUUGGGGCUGCUGACAAGCAGGGUGAUUUUUGUGAGGUGAGCCGACAGCCUGGAGCCUGCACCAGGAGAGGCCAGGGAGGGUUGUCCCCAUGACAACCCCACUGCACAGCAGCUCAUGCAGCUUCUUCCUGUGAUGCGGGACCCCCAGGAGUACCCAGGCUUGGGCAGCAGUCCCUGCAUGCCAUUCUUUUACCAGGCUGCCAAGAACAGGGAGCUAAACAUCACCAUCAUCUAAGAGCUGGUCAAGAAAUUAAAAAAGAAGAAAAAAAAGUUAUGGGGUUAAUCUCCUACACAAUUCAUUUACUUCAUUUGAAUGUU
RNAcentral lists this long non-coding RNA (1567 nucleotides) under Homo sapiens (human). RNAcentral's name for it is "non-protein coding lnc-MTPAP-6:3". The record is from RNAcentral. Lineage: Eukaryota; Metazoa; Chordata; Mammalia; Primates; Hominidae.